GAUUUCAGUUCACUCGAUGAUCCGAUUGCAGUAGUUCUUCAACUAGCAACUACUUAAAAUAAUCAGUGAAUAAUGACUUAAUUUCAAUGGGUUCCUUAAACAAAACUAUAAUUUACAAUCUAAUGCACGAGUAUAGACUACUUAAUUUUUUUUUGUAGCAUAUGCCACGUGGUCACCCUAAAAGACCUGCAUGAUUCAUCAGAAAUAAUUCUUUAUGGGUUUGUCACGACAUGAGGAUGGAAUGAUUAAAUGCGCGUGCCUGUGUGAAAAGAUACAGGCGCUGGCGGCAGGCCUGUCUGCGGGGCUGUGGUGAGUCUGGGUUUCCCCAGCUGGGUAUGCUUGUUUAUGCUUCCAUUUCAAGGCGGCUAGAGGACAGCGUGCCCGUCAACACAGCACCAGAGCAUGCAGUCCCAGUCACGGUGGUCACGCAGAUGGGUGAUGGGAUAUCCACUGGACAAACAACCAAACUGCAAACUACACAGACACCCACCAAGAUCAACACCUGCAACCAAACACACUUUAUGAACUCAGUUUCAAUACAUCUAAUACUUUAUACCCAUGUAUGUCUCAUGAAAGCACCUAUAAAUGCAAC
Molecule: long non-coding RNA, 592 nt
Organism: Onychostoma macrolepis
Lineage: Eukaryota; Metazoa; Chordata; Actinopteri; Cypriniformes; Cyprinidae
Exons: 3
Source: RefSeq, a predicted model, not a curated record